GGCUCGGUGGUGGAUGGUCCAUACCUGUAAAACAUGAACGACCGGGAUGCAUAUAUACAGGGGAGCCCGUUCGAUUCGGGCCCGAGCCA
Molecule: non-coding RNA, 89 nt
Organism: Mycena leptocephala
Lineage: Eukaryota; Fungi; Basidiomycota; Agaricomycetes; Agaricales; Mycenaceae
Source: the annotation of a GenBank genome assembly